RNAcentral lists this ribosomal RNA (492 nucleotides) under uncultured bacterium. Its description in RNAcentral is "partial 16S ribosomal RNA". It matches the Rfam family "Bacterial small subunit ribosomal RNA", at positions 29 to 507 of the family's 1533-position model. The record is from RNAcentral.
AGUGAACGCUGGCGGUAGGCCUAACACAUGCAAGUCGAACGGCAGCACAGUAAGAGCUUGCUCUUACGGGUGGCGAGUGGCGGACGGGUGAGGAAUACAUCGGAAUCUACUUUUUCGUGGGGGAUAACGUAGGGAAACUUACGCUAAUACCGCAUACGACCUACGGGUGAAAGCAGGGGAUCUUCGGACCUUGCGCGAUUGAAUGAGCCGAUGUCGGAUUAGCUAGUUGGCGGGGAAAAGGCCCACCAAGGCGACGAUCCGUAGCUGGUCUGAGAGGAUGAUCAGCCACACUGGAACUGAGACACGGUCCAGACUCCUACGGGAGGCAGCAGUGGGGAAUAUUGGACAAUGGGCGCAAGCCUGAUCCAGCCAUACCGCGUGGGUGAAGAAGGCCUUCGGGUUGUAAGGCCCUUUUGUUGGGAAAGAAAAGCAGCAGGUUAAUACCCCGCUGUUCUGACGGUACCCAAAGAAUAAGCACCGGCUAACUUCGUG